This is a non-coding RNA of Pelobates cultripes (western spadefoot toad), 590 nucleotides long. The record is from the annotation of a GenBank genome assembly. Lineage: Eukaryota; Metazoa; Chordata; Amphibia; Anura; Pelobatidae.
GUGGACACAAUCAGUUUCCAGGAGGUCGAGCAUUCCUUAGAUAUGAGGUACUUCAUGAAUCAAAGUCAAUGAAAUUAUCCAUUCUUUUCUUAUAUUCCAGCCCACUACUGAGAAGUUGGGUAAGGAGCGAGAAGAUCUUAACUGCACCCUUCAUAAUACCCUGAACCCACAACCCAGUGAUAAAGACAGGAGCAAGCUCUUCCAGCUCGUUUAUAUGAUCUCCAACCCUCUAUCACACAGAGUGGAGGAUAUGAGUGCUGUGAGCCAAGUCCCCUGGUUAGGAAGGGGUGAAGGUGACAGAGGGGCAAUUCCCCUGGGGACAUUAUCACGUAGGGAUAGCCUCACUGCUCUAUUCUACUGGUGAUUAAUAGCUACAGGAGAUGCACUGGGACAUCUGAUGAUUCAUGAGGAAUUGCACAAGCACUGUAGUAGCCCAGAACUUAAUUUGUCCUUGGGUUGGUGGCCCACAUGCUCAGUGGCAGUCAAGGCCCAGAAUGGCCCACUUGGGUAUUUCCCUUGAGAAGGAAUCUAUGACUAGCCAUGGUCAGACUAUGACAAUGUAGUGAGAUGAGAGAGGACCUCUGCUCAGG